RNAcentral lists this unclassified non-coding RNA (352 nucleotides) under soil metagenome. Its description in RNAcentral is "partial contains 5.8S ribosomal RNA, internal transcribed spacer 2, and large subunit ribosomal RNA". The stretch from base 1 to 120 matches the Rfam family "5.8S ribosomal RNA", at positions 35 to 154 of the family's 154-position model. The record is from RNAcentral.
GAAGAAGAACGUAGCGAAAUGCGAUAAGUAAUGUGAAUUGCAGAAUUCAGUGAAUCAUCGAAUCUUUGAACGCACAUUGCGCCCGCCAGUAUUCUGGCGGGCAUGCCUGUUCGAGCGUCAUUACAACCCUCAGGCCCCCGGGCCUGGCGUUGGGGAUCGGCGGAGCCCCCCGUGGGCACACGCCGUCCCCCAAAUACAGUGGCGGUCCCGCCGCAGCUUCCAUCGCGUAGUAGCUAACACCUCGCGACUGGAGAGCGGCGCGGCCACGCCGUAAAACACCCAACUCUUCUGAAGUUGACCUCGAAUCAGGUAGGAAUACCCGCUGAACUUAAGCAUAUCAAUAAGCGGAGGA